GACGAACGCUGGCGGCGUGCCUAAUACAUGCCAGUAGAACGCACAGUUUAUACCGUAGCUUGCUACACCAUAGACUGUGAGUUGCGAACGGGUGAGUAACGCGUAGGUAACCUGCCUGGUAGCGGGGGAUAACUAUUGGAAACGAUAGCUAAUACCGCAUAAUAUUGAUUAUUGCAUGAUAAUUGAUUGAAAGAUGCUAUUGCAUCACUACCAGAUGGACCUGCGUUGUAUUAGCUAGUAGGUGAGGUAACGGCUCACCUAGGCGACGAUACAUAGCCGACCUGAGAGGGUGAUCGGCCAAACUGGGACUGAGACACGGCCCAGACUCCUACGGGAGGCAGCAGUAGGGAAUCUUCGGCAAUGGACGAAAGUCUGACCGAGCAACGCCGCGUGAGUGAAGAAGGUUGUCGGAUCGUAAAGCUCUGUUGUAAGAGAAGAACGGGUGUGAGAGUGGAAAGUUCACACUGUGACGGUAUCUUACCAGAAAGGGACGGCUAACUACGUG
This 505-nucleotide ribosomal RNA is filed under the name uncultured bacterium. Its description in RNAcentral is "partial 16S ribosomal RNA". It matches the Rfam family "Bacterial small subunit ribosomal RNA", at positions 28 to 507 of the family's 1533-position model. The record is from RNAcentral.